Molecule: ribosomal RNA, 253 nt
Filed under: uncultured bacterium
Lineage: Bacteria
Description: partial 16S ribosomal RNA
Rfam family: Bacterial small subunit ribosomal RNA
Source: RNAcentral
UACAGAGGUCUCAAGCGUCGUUCGGAUUCAUUGGGCGUAAAGGGUGCGUAGGUGGCGCCGUAAGUCGGGUGUGAAAUUUCGGAGCUUAACUCCGAAACUGCAUUCGAUACUGCGGUGCUUGAGGACUGGAGAGGAGACUGGAAUUCAUGGUGUAGCAGUGAAAUGCGUAGAGAUCAUGAGGAAGACCAGUGGCGAAGGCGGGUCUCUGGACAGUUCCUGACACUGAGGCACGAAGGCCAGGGGAGCAAACGGG